Molecule: non-coding RNA, 73 nt
Organism: Podarcis lilfordi (Lilford's wall lizard)
Lineage: Eukaryota; Metazoa; Chordata; Lepidosauria; Squamata; Lacertidae
Source: the annotation of a GenBank genome assembly
GCUUGGAGAGCUCAGUCAGUAGAGCAUGAUACUCAUAAUCUCAGGGUUGUGGGUUUGAGCCCCACACUGAGCG